RNAcentral lists this ribosomal RNA (253 nucleotides) under uncultured bacterium. RNAcentral's name for it is "partial 16S ribosomal RNA". It matches the Rfam family "Bacterial small subunit ribosomal RNA", at positions 524 to 776 of the family's 1533-position model. The record is from RNAcentral.
UACGUAGGGCGCAAGCGUUGUCCGGAAUUAUUGGGCGUAAAGAGCUCGUAGGCGGUCUGUCGCGUCUGCUGUGAAAACUCGGGGCUUAACCCCGGGCCUGCAGUGGGUACGGGCAGACUAGAGUGCGGUAGGGGAGACUGGAAUUCCUGGUGUAGCGGUGAAAUGCGCAGAUAUCAGGAGGAACACCGGUGGCGAAGGCAGCUCGCUGGGACGGUAUUGACGCUAAGGCGCGAAAGCGUGGGGAGCAAACAGG